UCAGGAAUAUUUGUCAAUGGACGAAUGUCUGAACCAGCCAUGCCGCGUGGAGGAUGAAGGUCCUCUGGAUUGUAAACUUCUUUUAUAUGGGACGAAAAAAGGGUUUUCUAUCUCGUCUGACGGUACCAUAUGAAUAAGCACCGGCUAACUCCGUGCCAGCAGCCGCGGUAAUACGGAGGGUGCAAGCGUUAUCCGGAUUCACUGGGUUUAAAGGGAGCGUAGGUGGGUUUAUAAGUCAGUGGUGAAAUCUCCGAGCUUAACUCGGAAACUGCCAUUGAUACUAUCUGUCUUGAAUGUUGUGGAGGUGAGCGGAAUAUGUCAUGUAGCGGUGAAAUGCUUAGAUAUGACAUAGAACACCAAUUGAGAAGGCAGCUCGCUACACAUAUAUUGACACUGAGGCUCGAAAGCGUGGGGAUCAAACAGGAUUAGAUACCCUGGUAGUCCACGCCCUAAACUAUGAUUACUCGACGUACGCGAUACACAGUCGGUGUCUGAGCGAAAGCAUUAAGU
This 510-nucleotide ribosomal RNA is filed under the name bacterium enrichment culture SBR_L_B12. Its description in RNAcentral is "bacterial SSU rRNA". It matches the Rfam family "Bacterial small subunit ribosomal RNA", at positions 355 to 865 of the family's 1533-position model. The record is from RNAcentral.